CCGUUACAGAAUUAUUGCGCGCCACGUGGUUAGCUCGGAUUCCCAGCCUCCGGGGCAGCUGGGCGCGGUCACGUGACGGAAUUCUGGCCAAUAGGCUGUGAGCGCGGUGAAACGUGCGCUUCCUGAGCCUUGAAGCUGCGCGCCCCACCCCCCACCAGCGUCCUUCCCGUUCUCUCCUCCCUGCGGCCCGAGUGGGACUCGGGGGUGGGGCUGCGCAGCAUUCCGGGACCUACCGGAGGCGAGAUGGCAGAGCAACGAGGGAGCCAGGAGAGAGAAGUGCUUGAGAGCCAGGGUCUCUGGUUCAGCCCCAGGCCCACCCCUUCCCGUCAGCGUGACCUUGGGCAGAUCACUUAAUGUGUCUAUAACUCAGGCUCUUCACCUGGAGAACGUUCCUAGACGAGGCUGAUGCUGUGGUCAGGAGACCCUGCUCGGAGGACCUCUGCCCUCACCUUGUCACCAUCGAGAGCGCUACCCUCUCAAGUCUCGCCUUCGAGUCCCAUUCGCCACCCCGCUGGCCUAUCUCUUCUGCGCUCUCCACACCCUCAUUCCAACAGCUUUUCCAGCCUCCUGCUCUGCUCCUCUGUCUCCACUCACUCGCCUCGUGAUCCCCGUGAUCCCCGGGUUCGCAGCUUUUAAAUACCCUCAGUGCAGCGACGACUCCAUGUUUCUGUCUCCAGCCCAGAUUCUGUUCUGAGCUCCAGACUACACAUUCAGCUGCCUGCUGGGCUUUACUUGGGAGUUGUGUCAGAAAAUAUAAUUUGUCCACCAGUAGCCAUUUUCCCUUCUUCCUAAAUAAUCACCAGCACUUCAGUGCCUGGAAUACACAUUAUAUGUCCCAGCCUUCUUUAUAGUUAAGGACAGCCUAGUGACUAAGUUGUCCAAUGAAAUAUAAGUGGAAAUGUCUUGUGAAAUUUCUGGGAAGUGUCUCUGGUGUUCUUCCCUCUUCCUUCUUCCUGCUGGCUGGAAUAUGCAUAUGAUGACUGGAGCUCAAGCAGCCAUUCUGCGUUAAGAGGUGGGAGCCAGGUGCUGAGGAUGGCAGAACAUUAGAUGACCAUGGAGCUACCACACCAGCUCUGUUUUCUAAGGAUUUAGUCUACAUGCAAGAGAUAAAGUUUUGUUUUAUU
This is a non-coding RNA of Vicugna pacos (alpaca), 1124 nucleotides long. The record is from RefSeq and is a predicted model, not a curated record. Lineage: Eukaryota; Metazoa; Chordata; Mammalia; Artiodactyla; Camelidae.